GACCUGCGGAGGAUCAUU
Molecule: ribosomal RNA, 18 nt
Filed under: Holtermanniella wattica
Lineage: Eukaryota; Fungi; Basidiomycota; Tremellomycetes; Holtermanniales
Description: partial 18S ribosomal RNA
Source: RNAcentral